Molecule: ribosomal RNA, 206 nt
Filed under: uncultured bacterium
Lineage: Bacteria
Description: partial 16S ribosomal RNA
Rfam family: Bacterial small subunit ribosomal RNA
Source: RNAcentral
GGAUUGCAGGCUGCAACCCGCCUGUAUGAAGUUGGAAUCGCUAGUAAUCGCGGAUCAGCAUGCCGCGGUGAAUACGUUCCCGGGCCUUGUACACACCGCCCGUCACACCAUGAGAGUCGGGAACACCCGAAGUCCGUAGCCUAACCGCAAGGAGGGCGCGGCCGAAGGUGGGUUCGAUAAUUGGGGUGAAGUCGUAACAAGGUAGC